Long non-coding RNA from Ricinus communis (castor bean), 771 nucleotides. RefSeq lists it as uncharacterized. The transcript has 3 exons. The record is from RefSeq and is a predicted model, not a curated record. NCBI's taxonomy places the organism in Eukaryota, Viridiplantae, Streptophyta, Magnoliopsida, Malpighiales, Euphorbiaceae.
GGAAGAAGGCAGCGGCUUCCGAACGCCAUUCUGAACAGUUUCCGGCGGCAUUGGCGACCGAGUCGCGUGGCGAUCGACUCCCAUCGCCGUGAGAUUUCUUUUGGCUGCAGCGGCGACGCGAAUGGUGGCCGGAGAUGGAAGUUCGUGGUGGAGAGAGAAAGUGGGUGGCAACCGUGUUUUCGGGCUUUUCCGGCGAGCUUUGGAUGAUCGGGGGGUAUAUCCGGACUCUUCUUAGCUCAAGCUUCACAAUGACACCGGUUUCGUGGCGAUCGGACUCCGUUUGCAAAUCGACGGCCGAGAUCGUUUGUAAAUCUCUCCGGAUGAUCGAGGGUCGAAACGGAAGAUCGAAAGCAAAGAUCGUCAUCAACGUAUUGUUUCAAGUCCGUUGGUAUGUUCAGAUCGUCGAUCGGACUCCGGCAGCUGGAGGCGAGUCAACCGAGCGAUCAAGCGUCUCGAUAAAUCCGUCAGUUUGGCUCACUCCACCCGAGGCAUCGGAGCAGAGAUAGGAGGUCAUUAAAGCUAUCUGUGAUUGUUAAUCUUUCCGCAGCUUUUAUCUAGCAACCCAACUCCUUCAUCAUCAGGUAAUGUAAUUGAUUUGGUAUGUUAAAUUGUAAAAUCUUAGAUUCUUCGCAGUAAAGUAAUAGACUUAUUAGUUGUAAUUUUGUGUGAUCUCAGGUCUCACCUAAUUCUUCUGACAGACCGAAUUAAAUAUGUAAAAUUUAACGGUUAAAAUAAUUAUGGCAUCAGUAAUAUUAGAUGAGAUUUAAUUGA